UUAAUUGUCCACUAUCAAAACAGUGUAGUAUAUAUUUACUUCGAUUUUGAUAAACUAUCAUAGUCUAUUUAGUUUUCAAAAUGAACGCCAAAUCGAUAUUUUUAAUUUGUCUUAUCUUAACAUGCUUACUAGCUUCAACCUUCGUUGCUGCUUACCCUGGCGGCGACGUUAUUGAAUCGAAUCCUUCAAACCAAGCCACUGAUAGUAACAAGCAGAAUGGAGGCGUCGGUCAAGGACAAUCGGAUCGAAAAGGGUUAAUUUGAUUACUAUGAAAUGAUGUGAAAAUAAAGUUAAUUAAAUAA
Pieris rapae (cabbage white) is the source of this 302-nucleotide long non-coding RNA. RefSeq lists it as uncharacterized. The record is from RefSeq and is a predicted model, not a curated record. NCBI's taxonomy places the organism in Eukaryota, Metazoa, Arthropoda, Insecta, Lepidoptera, Pieridae. The transcript is spliced from 3 exons.